RNAcentral lists this ribosomal RNA (508 nucleotides) under uncultured bacterium. Its description in RNAcentral is "partial 16S ribosomal RNA". It matches the Rfam family "Bacterial small subunit ribosomal RNA", at positions 28 to 523 of the family's 1533-position model. The record is from RNAcentral.
GAUGAACGCUAGCUACAGGCUUAACACAUGUAAGUCGAGGGGAAACGAUAUUGGAAGCUUGCUUCCGAUAGGCGUCGACCGGCGCACGGGUGAGUAACGCGUAUCCAACCUGCCCACCACUUGGGGAUAACCUUGCGAAAGUAAGGCUAAUACCCAAUGAUAUCUCAAGAAGACAUCUGAAAGGGAUUAAAGAUUUAUCGGUGAUGGAUGGGGAUGCGUCUGAUUAGCUUGUUGGCGGGGUAACGGCCCACCAAGGCGACGAUCAGUAGGGGUUCUGGGAGGGAGGUCACCAACAUGGGAAAUGAGACACGGUCCAAACUCCUACGGGAGGCAGCAGUGAGGAAUAUUGGUCAAUGGGCGAGAGCCUGAACCAGCCAAGUAGCGUGCAGGAUGACGGCCCUAUGGGUUGUAAACUGCUUUUAUAAGGGAAUAAAGUGAGCCUCGUGAGGCUUUUUGCAUGUACCUUAUGAAUAAGGACCGGCUAAUUCCGUGCCAGCCGCCGCCGUAA